UGCGUUGCUCCAUCUAAAGGGGAUUCCACGCUCGAACAACACUGUUGAUAGCAUAUCAGAGAAUUUUUGGUUUUGGAUUGCUGAAGAUAUUGUGGAAGGUUGUGGCAGGCUGUUGAGGGUUUGUUGAAGGAUUGAAGGAGAGAGUUUCAAUGAUUUGUGCCAAGUAAAAAUGAAUCAAUCCUUGUGAUGGUGAAUUGUUGUUCUUAUGUGCUCUCGGUUUUGCAGCUUUCUGUUAGAUUUUUUCUCAGUCUGUUAUUCUGUUAUUUAUGAGUUUGUUACAAGUGGUUCGAAAACAUUUUGCAUUGGUUUUUGACGGUUCUAAUUAUGCUCUUGGAUCUUAUGCAGGGUUGAAGUUGGCUACGUUUUCCUUUGCGUAUUGGAAUUGCACUUGCUGCGUUUUGACACUUGGUCUCGCCGUUUUGUUCUGCAGUUCUUUGGUUGUUUGCUGCGUACUUUCUGUUACAACGGGUAUGGAUGACCUUCGAUAACUCGUUUUUGAUUCUCACUUCCGUGGCUCUUAACAGCUCCUUUCAAAUUCUGUGGAACAGUGAGGUGGAAUACGGGUGGCCCAUGGAUUCGUGAUUGGGAUGGUACUAUUGGAAACUUGGAAUCCGUGUGUUAAAUGUUGAAUUCAAAUUGUGUAUCGAAUAGGAAUGUAUAUGAAUGCUUGAACUUGAUUGUAAUUUAAAAAUGGUUGAAUGAGACCUUAGAAUCAAAGGCUUAUGUACAAAACUGUUUAUAUCUUGAAUGAAAGAAAAUUAUUUGGUAUUUGGUCAUGUAUUCUCAAGUCAUGUGCUUUCAUGUU
This 805-nucleotide long non-coding RNA is filed under the name Lathyrus oleraceus (garden pea). Its description in RNAcentral is "Pisum sativum (pea) long non-coding RNA (PSAT_LNC036520)". The record is from RNAcentral. Lineage: Eukaryota; Viridiplantae; Streptophyta; Magnoliopsida; Fabales; Fabaceae.